This 107-nucleotide small nucleolar RNA is filed under the name Gossypium barbadense (sea-island cotton). RNAcentral's name for it is "Plant small nucleolar RNA R71". It matches the Rfam family "Plant small nucleolar RNA R71". From Rfam's summary of the family: R71 is a member of the C/D box family of snoRNAs containing the C (UGAUGA) and D (CUGA) box motifs. Multiple nearly identical copies of this snoRNA have been identified in Arabidopsis, and it is thought to function as a 2'-O-ribose methylation guide for 18S ribosomal RNA. Lineage: Eukaryota; Viridiplantae; Streptophyta; Magnoliopsida; Malvales; Malvaceae. RNAcentral also lists the same sequence under 2 other names. The record is from Rfam by way of RNAcentral.
AACCCAUGAUGAGGACACUUACACAGUAACUCCUUAAAUCUCUCCCAAGCCUCAUUCAAAGAUUCGUCAUCCAAUUUUUGGAAAGUUGUGAUCUCAUUCCUCAACUU